This 2900-nucleotide ribosomal RNA is filed under the name Salmonella enterica. RNAcentral's name for it is "bacterial LSU rRNA". It matches the Rfam family "Bacterial large subunit ribosomal RNA". The record is from RNAcentral. Lineage: Bacteria; Pseudomonadati; Pseudomonadota; Gammaproteobacteria; Enterobacterales; Enterobacteriaceae.
UUAAGCGACUAAGCGUACACGGUGGAUGCCCUGGCAGUCAGAGGCGAUGAAGGGCGUGCUAAUCUGCGAUAAGCGCCGGUAAGGUGAUAUGAACCGUUAUAACCGGCGAUACCCGAAUGGGGAAACCCAGUGUGACUCGUCACACUAUCAUUAACUGAAUCCAUAGGUUAAUGAGGCGAACCGGGGGAACUGAAACAUCUAAGUACCCCGAGGAAAAGAAAUCAACCGAGAUUCCCCCAGUAGCGGCGAGCGAACGGGGAGGAGCCCAGAGCCUGAAUCAGCAUGUGUGUUAGUGGAAGCGUCUGGAAAGGCGCGCGAUACAGGGUGACAGCCCCGUACACAAAAGCGCAUGUGCUGUGAGCUCGAUGAGUAGGGCGGGACACGUGGUAUCCUGUCUGAAUAUGGGGGGACCAUCCUCCAAGGCUAAAUACUCCUGACUGACCGAUAGUGAACCAGUACCGUGAGGGAAAGGCGAAAAGAACCCCGGCGAGGGGAGUGAAAAAGAACCUGAAACCGUGUACGUACAAGCAGUGGGAGCACCCUUUGGGUGUGACUGCGUACCUUUUGUAUAAUGGGUCAGCGACUUAUAUUCUGUAGCAAGGUUAACCGAAUAGGGGAGCCGGAGGGAAACCGAGUCUUAAUUGGGCGUUAAGUUGCAGGGUAUAGACCCGAAACCCGGUGAUCUAGCCAUGGGCAGGUUGAAGGUUGGGUAACACUAACUGGAGGACCGAACCGACUAAUGUUGAAAAAUUAGCGGAUGACCUGUGGCUGGGGGUGAAAGGCCAAUCAAACCGGGAGAUAGCUGGUUCUCCCCGAAAGCUAUUUAGGUAGCGCCUCGUGAAUUCAUCUCCGGGGGUAGAGCACUGUUUCGGCUAGGGGGCCAUCCCGGCUUACCAACCCGAUGCAAACUGCGAAUACCGGAGAAUGUUAUCACGGGAGACACACGGCGGGUGCUAACGUCCGUCGUGAAGAGGGAAACAACCCAGACCGCCAGCUAAGGUCCCAAAGUCAUGGUUAAGUGGGAAACGAUGUGGGAAGGCCCAGACAGCCAGGAUGUUGGCUUAGAAGCAGCCAUCAUUUAAAGAAAGCGUAAUAGCUCACUGGUCGAGUCGGCCUGCGCGGAAGAUGUAACGGGGCUAAACCAUGCACCGAAGCUGCGGCAGCGACACUGUGUGUUGUUGGGUAGGGGAGCGUUCUGUAAGCCUGUGAAGGUGUGUCGUGAGGCAUGCUGGAGGUAUCAGAAGUGCGAAUGCUGACAUAAGUAACGAUAAAGCGGGUGAAAAGCCCGCUCGCCGGAAGACCAAGGGUUCCUGUCCAACGUUAAUCGGGGCAGGGUGAGUCGACCCCUAAGGCGAGGCCGAAAGGCGUAGUCGAUGGGAAACGGGUUAAUAUUCCCGUACUUGGUGUUACUGCGAAGGGGGGACGGAGAAGGCUAUGUUGGCCGGGCGACGGUUGUCCCGGUUUAAGCGUGUAGGCUGGUUUUCCAGGCAAAUCCGGAAAAUCAAGGCUGAGGCGUGACGACGAGGCACUACGGUGCUGAAGCAACAAAUGCCCUGCUUCCAGGAAAAGCCUCUAAGCAUCAGGUAACAUCAAAUCGUACCCCAAACCGACACAGGUGGUCAGGUAGAGAAUACCAAGGCGCUUGAGAGAACUCGGGUGAAGGAACUAGGCAAAAUGGUGCCGUAACUUCGGGAGAAGGCACGCUGACACGUAGGUGAAGUGAUUUACUCAUGGAGCUGAAGUCAGUCGAAGAUACCAGCUGGCUGCAACUGUUUAUUAAAAACACAGCACUGUGCAAACACGAAAGUGGACGUAUACGGUGUGACGCCUGCCCGGUGCCGGAAGGUUAAUUGAUGGGGUCAGCGCAAGCGAAGCUCCUGAUCGAAGCCCCGGUAAACGGCGGCCGUAACUAUAACGGUCCUAAGGUAGCGAAAUUCCUUGUCGGGUAAGUUCCGACCUGCACGAAUGGCGUAAUGAUGGCCAGGCUGUCUCCACCCGAGACUCAGUGAAAUUGAACUCGCUGUGAAGAUGCAGUGUACCCGCGGCAAGACGGAAAGACCCCGUGAACCUUUACUAUAGCUUGACACUGAACAUUGAGCCUUGAUGUGUAGGAUAGGUGGGAGGCUUUGAAGUGUGGACGCCAGUCUGCAUGGAGCCGACCUUGAAAUACCACCCUUUAAUGUUUGAUGUUCUAACGUGGACCCGUUACCCGGGUUGCGGACAGUGUCUGGUGGGUAGUUUGACUGGGGCGGUCUCCUCCUAAAGAGUAACGGAGGAGCACGAAGGUUGGCUAAUCCUGGUCGGACAUCAGGAGGUUAGUGCAAUGGCAUAAGCCAGCUUGACUGCGAGCGUGACGGCGCGAGCAGGUGCGAAAGCAGGUCAUAGUGAUCCGGUGGUUCUGAAUGGAAGGGCCAUCGCUCAACGGAUAAAAGGUACUCCGGGGAUAACAGGCUGAUACCGCCCAAGAGUUCAUAUCGACGGCGGUGUUUGGCACCUCGAUGUCGGCUCAUCACAUCCUGGGGCUGAAGUAGGUCCCAAGGGUAUGGCUGUUCGCCAUUUAAAGUGGUACGCGAGCUGGGUUUAGAACGUCGUGAGACAGUUCGGUCCCUAUCUGCCGUGGGCGCUGGAGAACUGAGGGGGGCUGCUCCUAGUACGAGAGGACCGGAGUGGACGCAUCACUGGUGUUCGGGUUGUCAUGCCAAUGGCACUGCCCGGUAGCUAAAUGCGGAAGAGAUAAGUGCUGAAAGCAUCUAAGCACGAAACUUGCCCCGAGAUGAGUUCUCCCUGAGACUUAAAGUCUCCUGAAGGAACGUUGAAGACGACGACGUUGAUAGGCCGGGUGUGUAAGCGCAGCGAUGCGUUGAGCUAACCGGUACUAAUGAACCGUGAGGCUUAACCUU